AGUGAACGCUGGCGGUAGGCCUAACACAUGCAAGUCGAACGGCAGCACAGGAGAGCUUGCUCUCUGGGUGGCGAGUGGCGGACGGGUGAGGAAUACAUCGGAAUCUACUUUUUCGUGGGGGAUAACGUAGGGAAACUUACGCUAAUACCGCAUACGACCUACGGGUGAAAGCAGGGGACCUUCGGGCCUUGCGCGAUUGAAUGAGCCGAUGUCGGAUUAGCAAGUUGGCGGGGUAAAGGCCCACCAAGGCGACGAUCCGUAGCUGGUCUGAGAGCAGGAUCGGCCACACUGGACCUGAGACACGGUCCAGAGUCCUACGGGGGGCAGCAGUGGGGAAUAUUGGACAAUGGGAGCAAGCCUGAUCCAGCCAUACCGCGUGGGUGAAGAAGGCCUUAGGGUUGUAAAGCCCUUUUGUUGGGAAAGAAAUCCAGCUGGCUAAUAACCGGUUGGGAUGACGGUACCCAAAGCAUAAGCACCGGCUAACUUCGUGCCAGCAGCCGCCGUAA
RNAcentral lists this ribosomal RNA (506 nucleotides) under uncultured bacterium. Its description in RNAcentral is "partial 16S ribosomal RNA". It matches the Rfam family "Bacterial small subunit ribosomal RNA", at positions 29 to 523 of the family's 1533-position model. The record is from RNAcentral.